This 3071-nucleotide ribosomal RNA is filed under the name Campylobacter coli. RNAcentral describes it as "23S ribosomal RNA". It matches the Rfam family "Bacterial large subunit ribosomal RNA". Lineage: Bacteria; Pseudomonadati; Campylobacterota; Epsilonproteobacteria; Campylobacterales; Campylobacteraceae. The record is from RNAcentral.
AAAAAAGGUAAGCUACUAAGAGCGAAUGGUGGAUGCCUUGACUGGUAAAGGCGAUGAAGGACGUACUAGACUGCGAUAAGCUACGGGGAGCUGUCAAGAAGCUUUGAUCCGUAGAUUUCCGAAUGGGGCAACCCAAUGUAUAGAGAUAUACAUUACCUAUAUAGGAGCGAACGAGGGGAAUUGAAACAUCUUAGUACCCUCAGGAAAAGAAAUCAAUAGAGAUUGCGUCAGUAGCGGCGAGCGAAAGCGCAAGAGGGCAAACCCAGUGCUUGCACUGGGGGUUGUAGGACUGCAAUGUGCAAGAGGUAAGUUUAGCAGAACAUUCUGGAAAGUAUAGCCAUAGAGGGUGAUAGUCCCGUAUGCGAAAAACAAACCUUAGCUAGCAGUAUCCUGAGUAGGGCGGGACACGAGGAAUCCUGUCUGAAUCUGGGUCGACCACGAUCCAACCCUAAAUACUAAUACCAGAUCGAUAGUGCACAAGUACCGUGAGGGAAAGGUGAAAAGAACUGAGGUGAUCAGAGUGAAAUAGAACCUGAAACCAUUUGCUUACAAUCAUUCAGAGCCCUAUGUAGCAAUACAGGGUGAUGGACUGCCUUUUGCAUAAUGAGCCUGCGAGUUGUGGUGUCUGGCAAGGUUAAGCAAACGCGAAGCCGUAGCGAAAGCGAGUCUGAAUAGGGCGCUUAGUCAGAUGCUGCAGACCCGAAACGAAGUGAUCUAUCCAUGAGCAAGUUGAAGCUAGUGUAAGAACUAGUGGAGGACUGAACCCAUAGGCGUUGAAAAGCCCCGGGAUGACUUGUGGAUAGGGGUGAAAGGCCAAUCAAACUUCGUGAUAGCUGGUUCUCUCCGAAAUAUAUUUAGGUAUAGCGUUGUGUCGUAAUAUAAGGGGGUAGAGCACUGAAUGGGCUAGGGCAUACACCAAUGUACCAAACCCUAUCAAACUCCGAAUACCUUAUAUGUAAUCACAGCAGUCAGGCGGCGAGUGAUAAAAUCCGUCGUCAAGAGGGAAACAACCCAGACUACCAGCUAAGGUCCCUAAAUCUUACUUAAGUGGAAAACGAUGUGAAGUUACUUAAACAACCAGGAGGUUGGCUUAGAAGCAGCCAUCCUUUAAAGAAAGCGUAAUAGCUCACUGGUCUAGUGAUUUUGCGCGGAAAAUAUAACGGGGCUAAAGUAAGUACCGAAGCUGUAGACUUGCACACAACUUAGAUUAUUUAAGUUUAGAAUAUGAGAAACUAAGUUAUAUGUUUAGUUAUAUUUUUACUGAUUUUUAUAGAGUAAAGAUAGAAAUAAAACUUAGUAAAAUCAGUAAAAAUAUUCUUAGACUAAAGUUAAGUAGUUUAAGUUGUGUGCAAGUGGUAGGAGAGCGUUCUAUUUGCGUCGAAGGUAUACCGGUAAGGAGUGCUGGAGCGAAUAGAAGUGAGCAUGCAGGCAUGAGUAGCGAUAAUUAAUGUGAGAAUCAUUAACGCCGUAAACCCAAGGUUUCCUACGCGAUGCUCGUCAUCGUAGGGUUAGUCGGGUCCUAAGUCGAGUCCGAAAGGGGUAGACGAUGGCAAAUUGGUUAAUAUUCCAAUACCAACAUUAGUGUGCGAUGGAAGGACGCUUAGGGCUAAGGGGGCUAGCGGAUGGAAGUGCUAGUCUAAGGUCGUAGGAGGUUAUACAGGCAAAUCCGUAUAACAAUACUCCGAGAACUGAAAGGCUUUUUGAAGUCUUCGGAUGGAUAGAAGAACCCCUGAUGCCGUCGAGCCAAGAAAAGUUUCUAAGUUUAGCUAAUGUUGCCCGUACCGUAAACCGACACAGGUGGGUGGGAUGAGUAUUCUAAGGCGCGUGGAAGAACUCUCUUUAAGGAACUCUGCAAAAUAGCACCGUAUCUUCGGUAUAAGGUGUGGUUCGCUUCGUAUUAGGAUUUACUCCGAAAGCGAAGAAACUUACAACAAAGAGUCCCUCCCGACUGUUUACCAAAAACACAGCACUCUGCUAACUCGUAAGAGGAUGUAUAGGGUGUGACGCCUGCCCGGUGCUCGAAGGUUAAUUGAUGGGGUUAGCAUUAGCGAAGCUCUUGAUCGAAGCCCGAGUAAACGGCGGCCGUAACUAUAACGGUCCUAAGGUAGCGAAAUUCCUUGUCGGUUAAAUACCGACCUGCAUGAAUGGCGUAACGAGAUGGGAGCUGUCUCAAAGAGGGAUCCAGUGAAAUUGUAGUGGAGGUGAAAAUUCCUCCUACCCGCGGCAAGACGGAAAGACCCCGUGGACCUUUACUACAGCUUGACACUGCUACUUGGAUAAGAAUGUGCAGGAUAGGUGGGAGGCUUUGAGUAUAUGACGCCAGUUGUAUAUGAGCCAUUGUUGAGAUACCACUCUUUCUUAUUUGGGUAGCUAACCAGCUUGAGUUAUCCUCAAGUGGGACAAUGUCUGGUGGGUAGUUUGACUGGGGCGGUCGCCUCCCAAAUAAUAACGGAGGCUUACAAAGGUUGGCUCAGAACGGUUGGAAAUCGUUCGUAGAGUAUAAAGGUAUAAGCCAGCUUAACUGCAAGACAUACAAGUCAAGCAGAGACGAAAGUCGGUCUUAGUGAUCCGGUGGUUCUGUGUGGAAGGGCCAUCGCUCAAAGGAUAAAAGGUACCCCGGGGAUAACAGGCUGAUCUCCCCCAAGAGCUCACAUCGACGGGGAGGUUUGGCACCUCGAUGUCGGCUCAUCGCAUCCUGGGGCUGGAGCAGGUCCCAAGGGUAUGGCUGUUCGCCAUUUAAAGCGGUACGCGAGCUGGGUUCAGAACGUCGUGAGACAGUUCGGUCCCUAUCUGCCGUGGGCGUAAGAAGAUUGAAGAGAUUUGACCCUAGUACGAGAGGACCGGGUUGAACAAACCACUGGUGUAGCUGUUGUUCUGCCAAGAGCAUCGCAGCGUAGCUAAGUUUGGAAAGGAUAAACGCUGAAAGCAUCUAAGCGUGAAGCCAACUCUAAGAUGAAUCUUCUCUAAGCUCUCUAGAAGACUACUAGUUUGAUAGGCUGGGUGUGUAAUGGAUGAAAGUCCUUUAGCUGACCAGUACUAAUAGAGCGUUUGGCUUAUCUUUAAUAAAGCAU